AUGGAGGAUGUGGACAAGUGGGUGAAGAAUUUGUCUGACAGACAGCUCACCCAAACAGAGAAAAACAUCCUUGCUAAAGGGUUGAAUUUUGCCGUCACACCGAGACAAAUCCCUCUAGUGGAGCUGAACACAGCCACAGAAACAGCAAUUCGUAACAACAAUAUUGCAGAAGUGGAAGCAGAGCAACUACGGACGAAAGUUUCAGCCUGUCUCAGCAAUGCAAAGCCCCCAGCAUCCAACAUCACCAUGGAGGAGAGGAAGGCACUCACAUCACUUAGUGAUGACAACAACAUUAUCAUCCUUCCGGCAGACAAGGGUAGGUGCACAGUAUUGCUUAACCAGAAAGACGCUCAUGAGAAGAUUUUGUCACUACUCAGUGAUGAAAAUACUUAUGAGCCCCUGAAACGAGACCCAGGAAGUGGCUACAGGAAGAGGGUCAUAGACUGUCUGAAGCAGUUAGAACAAGACAAGGCUAUCGACCGGACCUCAUACCACAGGCUGUAUCCAGGGGAGUCUACACCAAGUCUGUAUGGUUUACCGAAAAUACAUAAGCAGGGUGCACCUUUAAGACCGAUUGUCUGCAUGAUCAACUCGGUCACCUAUAACAUCUCCAAGUUUCUGGCUUCGAUCCUCAACCCGCUGGUGGGCAGCUCUGAACACCACAUCCAGAACACCCUGGAUUUUGUUGAGAAGGUGAGAGAUGUCAUUAUGGAGGCAGAUGAAACCAUGGUCUCGUACGACGUUACAUCUCUCUUCACUUGCAUCCCAGUCACGGAAGCGUUGGAGGUAGUCCGUAAGAGAUUACAGGAUGACACCAACCUCAGCAACAGGACCACUCUCAGCAUCGACCAAGUGUGUUUGCUUUUGGAACUGUGUCUUCAUUCCACCUACUUCACAUACAAGGGUCAGUUCUACAGGCAGAAACAUGGGUGUGCCAUGGGCUCCCCAGUUUCACCCAUCGUGGCCAAUUUGUACAUGGAAGAAGUGGAAAAGAGGGCUUUGCUAUCCUACCCUGGAACACCACCAAGCCAUUGGUUCAGAUAUGUGGAUGACACCUGGGUGAAAAUCAAAUCUCAGGAUGUACUACAUUUCACGGAUCACAUUAACUCGGUGGACCAACACAUCAAAUUCACCAGAGAGGAUAUGAAAAGUGGCAGGUUAGCCUUCUUAGACUGUGAGAUUUCCAUCAGUAAUGGGGGACAUCUAAAAGCUGACGAGUACCGUAAACCUACGCAUACGGAUCAGUAUCUAAGGUUUGACUCUCAUCAUCCACUGGAGCACAAACUGGGUGUCAACACAGAGCGAACACCAUCCCCACUGACACAGCGGCCAGGGAGGCAGAAGAACAGCACAUCAAGAAGGCCCUGA
This 1368-nucleotide long non-coding RNA is filed under the name Oreochromis niloticus (Nile tilapia). RNAcentral describes it as "lncRNA (ENSONIG00000035386.1)". The record is from RNAcentral. Lineage: Eukaryota; Metazoa; Chordata; Actinopteri; Cichliformes; Cichlidae.